This 228-nucleotide ribosomal RNA is filed under the name uncultured bacterium. Its description in RNAcentral is "partial 16S ribosomal RNA". It matches the Rfam family "Bacterial small subunit ribosomal RNA", at positions 568 to 795 of the family's 1533-position model. The record is from RNAcentral.
UGCGUAGGCGGAUAUGCAAGCCAGACGUGAAAUCCCGGAGCUUAACUCCGGAACGGCGUUUGGAACUGCAUAUCUUGAGGAUAGGCGGAGAAAACGGAAUUCCACAUGUAGCGGUGAAAUGCGUAGAUAUGUGGAGGAACACCCGUGGCGAAGGCGGUUUUCUAGCUUAUUCCUGACGCUGAGGCACGAAAGCAAGGGGAGCAAACAGGAUUAGAUACCCUGGUAGUC